Molecule: ribosomal RNA, 1100 nt
Filed under: Lactiplantibacillus plantarum subsp. plantarum
Lineage: Bacteria; Bacillati; Bacillota; Bacilli; Lactobacillales; Lactobacillaceae
Description: bacterial SSU rRNA
Rfam family: Bacterial small subunit ribosomal RNA
Source: RNAcentral
UUGGUGCUUGCAUCAUGAUUUACAUUUGAGUGAGUGGCGAACUGGUGAGUAACACGUGGGAAACCUGCCCAGAAGCGGGGGAUAACACCUGGAAACAGAUGCUAAUACCGCAUAACAACUUGGACCGCAUGGUCCGAGUUUGAAAGAUGGCUUCGGCUAUCACUUUUGGAUGGUCCCGCGGCGUAUUAGCUAGAUGGUGAGGUAACGGCUCACCAUGGCAAUGAUACGUAGCCGACCUGAGAGGGUAAUCGGCCACAUUGGGACUGAGACACGGCCCAAACUCCUACGGGAGGCAGCAGUAGGGAAUCUUCCACAAUGGACGAAAGUCUGAUGGAGCAACGCCGCGUGAGUGAAGAAGGGUUUCGGCUCGUAAAACUCUGUUGUUAAAGAAGAACAUAUCUGAGAGUAACUGUUCAGGUAUUGACGGUAUUUAACCAGAAAGCCACGGCUAACUACGUGCCAGCAGCCGCGGUAAUACGUAGGUGGCAAGCGUUGUCCGGAUUUAUUGGGCGUAAAGCGAGCGCAGGCGGUUUUUUAAGUCUGAUGUGAAAGCCUUCGGCUCAACCGAAGAAGUGCAUCGGAAACUGGGAAACUUGAGUGCAGAAGAGGACAGUGGAACUCCAUGUGUAGCGGUGAAAUGCGUAGAUAUAUGGAAGAACACCAGUGGCGAAGGCGGCUGUCUGGUCUGUAACUGACGCUGAGGCUCGAAAGUAUGGGUAGCAAACAGGAUUAGAUACCCUGGUAGUCCAUACCGUAAACGAUGAAUGCUAAGUGUUGGAGGGUUUCCGCCCUUCAGUGCUGCAGCUAACGCAUUAAGCAUUCCGCCUGGGGAGUACGGCCGCAAGGCUGAAACUCAAAGGAAUUGACGGGGGCCCGCACAAGCGGUGGAGCAUGUGGUUUAAUUCGAAGCUACGCGAAGAACCUUACCAGGUCUUGACAUACUAUGCAAAUCUAAGAGAUUAGACGUUCCCUUCGGGGACAUGGAUACAGGUGGUGCAUGGUUGUCGUCAGCUCGUGUCGUGAGAUGUUGGGUUAAGUCCCGCAACGAGCGCAACCCUUAUUAUCAGUUGCCAGCAUUAAGUUGGGCACUCUGGUGAGAC